This is a long non-coding RNA of Marmota monax (woodchuck), 3172 nucleotides long. RefSeq lists it as uncharacterized. Lineage: Eukaryota; Metazoa; Chordata; Mammalia; Rodentia; Sciuridae. The record is from RefSeq and is a predicted model, not a curated record. The transcript has 2 exons.
UUCAUUCUAACAAUGUAAUUACAAAAACAAAUAAAUUUCUACACAAAGAUCUUAUUUCAGCUACAUCACAUGACAUCACAUAUAAGAGUGCACUCCUAGUUAAAAAUUAAAUUGAAAUAGAUCCAAAUAUCUUAAGAACCACGUGGUUACAUAAAGUUAAUACAAUUAUAAGUUAUGCCCUUAUUCUUAAUAUACAUUUUUGUAGGUAUUUAGAUAACCUAUUGUUAUUAAUCCAUAAAAUAAUUAACAUGUCUAAAUGUUUAGUUAAUAUAUAUUUAUCUAAUUGUUUUCUUCAACAGAAAACCCAUAAUUUAUACCUUUUAUGCAUGCAUUUCUCUGAUGCUCUAUCUUUUAGUUACAGAUAUUUGAGAUAAAUAUAUUUAACUAUAAAUUUACUUUCAAGAAAAAAAAAAUGCAACCUUCAAGUUAUCUCUAAUUCUCAAGGUUAUUGUACAAACAUUUAUAAGAUGAUAACAGAUAUGACUCUGUCUACAGAAAUAUCCAAAGGCUUUAACUAUAUUUUCAUUGAGACAUUUCUUAUCAAGGUACAAUAAUUUGUUUAGAUUCUAAGGUUUUCAGAAAUUAUUUCAAAGUAUAACCAGGAAAAAUUCUAAAAGGAAACAACGAUGCUUCACCAGAGAGGAAGCACACAUUGGAGGUCCUAAGAAAAACAAAGGAAUCAUCUUUGGGUAAGAAAAGGUUGUUAUAUUCUGGAUUUUAAUGAUAAAAGUAUUUUCCUAAAAAGGAAAAUCUUUAUAUCAUUAUCAAGACAGAUGAUAUAGAAAGUUAAAACAAUUAAAAAAGAGAUUUAUGUGUACUGGACUUACUAUAAAAAUUUUUAACUGAUUAAUUCAAGGAUAUUCCAGGCUAUUUUUCUGAUUUUACUGUGCUGAUAUGAGCUAAGAUUUUUUCCAUAUUUUGAUAUGAUAAAGACCUAUUAAAAUGUUAAGUUUAACUUACUUAAGGAAGGUCUUUAUUGUCUGAUGAUUCUUACUAUUUAAGUCAAGGGUUAAUUUUGGUGAAUAAACUCAUAUCCUUGAUUAAACACUGAAUAUAUUAACUGCUGACUUAGAUCCCAAUUUUGACAAUUCCCCUUGGAUACUAAAUUUGAUUAAUCUAUCAAAUUAAUCAAAGACACUGUUGAUUCUUACAUAUUACUUUUGUUUGUUGAAUAAUUAUGAGAUUUGAGAGAUCAUUGUAUUAGGACUGAGGUUUUCCAAAUUGAAGUCGUGUGUUAGUUUUGAACAAUAAAGGUUGCAAACCUUGUUGGAAAUUCAUUGUUAUUAUAUAAGUUCUCUGACUGGACCUAUUAUCCAUAAAAAAUAUGGUAGGAGUUAUAUAUUAUUCCCUACAUUGGGAAGUAACCUUAAUCAUAUUUUUUAAAAGAAAUUAAGACACACCUAUUUAAAGGACAAUAUUCUGAAGUAUAGAGAUAUUUUGAGACCUUCUCUCAAAAAGAGAUUGAGAGUUCUUUCUAAAUUGUUAGGAUGAAUCAAAUAAUCUAUUUGAAAAUUUACAAUAAUCAAUAAAAAUUGAAAAAUUUUGAAUAUUGAAAAAUUACAAUAAUCAAUAAAAGGUAAAUCUUUUCUUAACAUUUAAGUACUUGUACUAUUAUCUAUAACAUAAACUGAUGAUACAUUGGCUUACACGAAGGCUUUACCCAAUUUUGUUAAAUAAAAAAGGGGGGGAGGGGACAGGACUGGAGAGGCACACACUGGAUCUUACAAAAUAUUUUAAAAAUUUUUUCUUAAUUGUAAUAUUGAGAGUCUCAUUGUUGUUAAACUUGAUUCAGUAAAUUAAAUCAGAUGUCAAAGUAGAGUUUAAACCAGUCAUCAUGAAAAUUACUGAUAAACCUGACACAGGAAGGUAAAUUUCCAACUGCAAAGUUUAUAGCCAUAUAGAUUCACUAGUUUGUCAGGUAAGUAAAAAUUAUGAAAAGACUUGUGUGGACCCAUUUCUCAGGUCCACCUUUAAUGUACCUUGCAGUGUGGACUGGAAAGUCCACCCAUGAAACUUGAUUAAUUAUACUGACUAUAAUGGUCAAUUAUACCUCUAUGUUGAUGCUAUGGUAAACAGGCUGUCUGGGAGUAUCUUUUGAGAAGAAGACAGUAUAUAAGAAACCUAAACCAGCCAAUUCUGCUUGUCCUUAGAAAUUAGACUACCUAUCUGGACAAUUGUCAUGAAGAUUAUUAAAACAGAAUUUUCCUAUACAGGCAAGUUAUUUACAUAAAAUAUCCACCAAUGUAUUAUUGUCUUAAUCAUUCUACAAUAGAAGUUGACACCUUUUCUAAGUGGAUAGAUUAUGCAAAUGUCUUGUCAACACAACACAAGAUGUCUAGAAAUAAUGGAUAUAUUAGGUUAGUCUCCUAAAAUGGACAAGAACAAUUACAUGAGGAUGCUGUAAUUCUUAGAAUCUCUAACCCUCAGAAAGAUGACACCCAAAAGGAUGUUUUGAUGUUUGACUUCUACCUUCAGAAGAUUACAUUACUGAUAACCUAAUAAACUCCUUAAAUGUGAGAAUUAAGAGAAAAGAUGAUGAAUAUCCUGUAGCCUGCAAGAAUACAACUUAUCUUAUUGAAUCACUAGUUAUUGCCAGCUAAUAUUUCAGAGCUAUAAUAUGCUGAAGUUAAUGUACAGACUUUGAAACAGGUGCAUGUCAAUUAGCCAGACCUAGGCAAGCUGCUGGUCUCAUCAACCUUGAAGUGACUACUUUAAAUAUUAUUCCUAGCUUCCACAAUUACAGCCUUUAUGGCUAUAUCUUAAAACUUACUGUGGGUAGCCAUUCUCGCACGUGAUUGGGCACCUCCUGGAUUGGGUGUGAGGCGUUCUGGCCAAACUGUGUCAGAGCUUUCCCCACCCUCUCCAGGUGCGAGAGCCUGUCCACGUGGGGAUGUGACUGACCACUGACCCUGAGGCCAAUCACUGACCCUGACCUUGGAAUGCUGCCCCCUUGACCUUCAUUGGAUGGAAUUUUCCCCUGAAUUUCUUGUUCCCCAAUAAAAGGCCACUCCCUGGCAUGCUCUCUCUCUCUCUCCUGCGAGCCCUGAGUAAGCCUUGCUGCCCCACCGGGUGGUUCGAGGUGUGAGCCAGAGAGGUGAGAGCCGUCUCAGACCUGGUCAUAGGAAAAGACACUUAAGGUCAGAAGAGCCGUCACAGGACCCCAAAGAAAAAG